Molecule: long non-coding RNA, 268 nt
Filed under: Lathyrus oleraceus (garden pea)
Lineage: Eukaryota; Viridiplantae; Streptophyta; Magnoliopsida; Fabales; Fabaceae
Description: Pisum sativum (pea) long non-coding RNA (PSAT_LNC029727)
Source: RNAcentral
UUUGCAAGGAAUCCAGCAGCACCAAGGACCAACACAUUUUUAUCUUCAAGAAACUGAGUAAUGCUUCCAAAGUGUUCCAUUGGAGAAAAUACUGUUUUUAAGGCAAGUAUGGAGAAAUGACAAAGAUAUUGGAUAUAAGAAAGUUUUGUGUUUUGGUGUAAAAUAAUGUGCUAGAGGACCAAAUAUAUAUAGAAAAAAUAAAACGACACGUAACAAAGCAUUUAUUUGAAUAUAAUAUAAUAUGUAAUACUAUGUAUGUGGACCUAAG